This 707-nucleotide long non-coding RNA is filed under the name Canis lupus familiaris (dog). RNAcentral describes it as "lncRNA (ENSCAFG00000053069.1)". The record is from RNAcentral. Lineage: Eukaryota; Metazoa; Chordata; Mammalia; Carnivora; Canidae.
CUCAGAGCCCUGCUAGCCCCAGUCUGGGCUCUUCUCUGCCUCUAUGUAACCUGAGACCUGACUCAAUCUCACCGUGCCUCAGUGUGAGAGCACUCUGACCCUCCCACGAGACAUUGUGAGGAUUAAUGACAUCAAUCAAGUAGGAUCUGCUCUUGAGAAGAUGCUAACCUGUAUGAGUAGGUCAGUGUGCAUCAAGGAAACCACAUACCCACCAAAAUAAGGGCCUCACUGGCACCAAGGUGACACCAUCAGACAAGAGGCCAGUGGCUGGAUGUUUGAGACACAGGCGGUACAAAAAAUACUCACCGUUUUCUCAAGAUUUUGGUUCCCUUUGAGAUCAGAAUUUGGUUGCUUUCCAUAUCCUACAAGCUACCCUCUGAAGGUAGGAAUGUCAGGGCCAUCUGCCUAAUGAUGGGCAACCAGAAGGGCAAGCUUAAAGUCUAAAACCUGCUUUCCAGCUAACAUGUCCUGAAAGACCACUACCUUCAUUUAAUAGAAAAAUACCUCACUCUCUACAGAGCCCUAGAUGUUAUCUUCCUUCUGGGAAACCCAUGUGCCCCGACCUUCUUUAUGGCUUUUGGGAUAGGUUGGCUGGGGAACUCUGCUCCAUAUCAUCCUUAAUCAAGGAGCCAGAGCUCAAGAAGGUCAAGGAACUCCUGAUCUCCACUUUAAGGCUUCUUAACGUGAAGCUGGUGUCCUGCAAGUGA